AGCGAACGCUGGCGGCAGGCCUAACACAUGCAAGUCGAGCGCCCCGCAAGGGGAGCGGCAGACGGGAGAGUAACACGUGGGAACGUACCCUUCAGUUCGGAACAACCCAGGGAAACUUGGGCUAAUACCGGAUACGUCCGUAAGGAGAAAGAUUUAUCGCUGAAGGAUCGGCCCGCGUCUGAUUAGCUAGUUGGUGAGGUAACGGCUCACCAAGGCGACGAUCAGUAGCUGGUCUGAGAGGAUGAUCAGCCUCACUGGGACUGAGACACGGCCCAGACUCCUGCGGGAGGCAGCAGUGGGGAAUAUUGGACAAUGGGCGCAAGCCUGAUCCAGCCAUGCCGCGUGGAUGAUGAAGGCCCUAGGGUUGUAAAGUCCUUUCGGCGGGGAAGAUAAUGACGGUACCCGCAGAAGAAGCCCCGGCUAACUUGUGCCAGCCGCCGCGGUAA
RNAcentral lists this ribosomal RNA (446 nucleotides) under uncultured bacterium. RNAcentral describes it as "partial 16S ribosomal RNA". It matches the Rfam family "Bacterial small subunit ribosomal RNA", at positions 29 to 523 of the family's 1533-position model. The record is from RNAcentral.